This 91-nucleotide non-coding RNA is filed under the name [Mannheimia] succiniciproducens. RNAcentral's name for it is "Mannheimia succiniciproducens TPP sequence". It matches the Rfam family "TPP riboswitch aptamer (THI element)". From Rfam's summary of the family: Vitamin B(1) in its active form thiamin pyrophosphate (TPP) is an essential coenzyme that is synthesised by coupling of pyrimidine and thiazole moieties in bacteria. Lineage: Bacteria; Pseudomonadati; Pseudomonadota; Gammaproteobacteria; Pasteurellales; Pasteurellaceae. RNAcentral also lists the same sequence under 1 other name. The record is from RNAcentral.
CGCCGUUAGUCGGGGUGCUUAAAUUAGCUGAGAAAAUACCCGUGAACCUGAUACAGUUAACACUGGCGUAGGAAACUAAUCAAUCUAUUGA